AGGUGAAGACUGCAAAAAGCCUUUGAAGUAAAACAGUUGUGUGUACCGUGUACGAGGAGGAGAUCAGAUGAGCAGUCUGACGGAGGAGCCUUUCUUGGUCGUGAUCCUCUGCUUACGGAACUCUUGACCCUUAGAAAACCUCCGAUCACUGGUUCUGUUCAUUCAGGCAGGGGCGGAUCUACAUGGUGGGCUAUUUGGGCUCAAGUCUAGACAGUUUUUUGGGCAAAAAACGACCAAGUAUAUAUAUAUAUAUAUAUAUAUAUAUAUAUAUAUAAUUUCAGCCUAUACCCAAAGAAAAAAAGAAAGAAAAAAGAAUAGGGAGGUAAAGCUGCGUUCUCCCCCAGCCACAGCUUCGAGACGUCGACUGCUUCGAGUUCUCUCCUCUCUUCGCCUCCUCAGUCCUCGCCUAUUUUUCACUCAUUGAGUCAUCGGAAAGACGGAAAUAUCAUAGUGUCAGACCCUCCGCGGCCGGCGGCUCCGCCUUUUCUUCUCCAAUCUCCACCUCUCCCUUCCAUUGCCCGAUCUAAUACCCAACUGCCCAAGAGAUUUGCAUAGCUUCUUGCAAAGUUACAGACUGGAGUGACCGAAGACUCGAAGAGCUUAGCUGAUUGCCUGGGUUUCUGGAAGAGUUCUGGACUUCUGGCCCUCCAUGGCUCCAUGAAUUGUAUUGAUUGAUAAAAUUGAAGAGUCAUGAUGGUGACAAGAAGCAAGAGUUCAGGCCUAUUAAAGUUAGUGGAGGAGAGGUUAUUGAAGAGGAAAACAGAGGAAGAGAAAGAGCAAGCACAAAUUUCAUAUAUCCCGAAGGACUGUAUCUCAAACAUCCUUGCACGACUUCCUGCUGACUCUCUUCAAAGGUCGAGGUUUGUUUGCAAACCAUGGUAUAAUGCAGUUAAAAACCCCAAAUUCAUUCAUGCUCAUCUCCAACUUUCUGAAUCUGUUUUGAAAUGUAAAGGAAAGUUUGCACCCUAUUUCUAAGAAGCUAAAAGUGGGAGAAAAUGGAAGGUCAUAUCCUAUGGCAUCUAACCUACAGGCGAAGCAAAACAAAAUUCCAGUUGAAUCAAAACUUUUUGACCCAAACAUUAUCCCCAUUUUUGGUCACCCAGCCUUAAAUUCUCCAAAAAAAUUUGUUCAGUUUCUGGAAUUUAAAAAUGGUAAGAGUGACAUAGGAGAAUACUGUUUAAGUUGCUUGGGCAAUAAUAUUAGAGCCACCUGGAAUGGUCUAAUAUUGCUUGACAACAAAUUGAAGAAGGGAGGAGUCAAAGUCUUGAAUCCUGUGACUAGGAAGGUGAUUGCACUUCCUGUGGGUACCUUGUGUCGUCUUCCACAUCAAGAAUCAUAUGGUUUCGCACUGAGUGAUGUAAUUGGUGAGUAUAAAGUAGUCCACUUGUUUCUGGAUCAGUUGGGGUUGCUGUGAGAUAUUGAGCCUUAAUAAGAAAGCUUGGAGAGAGGUCAGUGGUCCUUCUUUCGGGCUCUUUGGUAAUAAUGGGUUUGGAUAUGCACCUGUUUCAGCAGCCGGAGCUUUGCACUGGAUUCCUCAUUUUAAUGUAAGCAAUUACGUAGUGUCAUUGGAAGUUGACAAGGAGAAGUUUCACCAAAUACCAUUCCCUAAGAGCUGCAGAACUCAUGAUUGGAUUUUUGAAGCAGAACUCAUGACAGGAUUAUUGAAAUUGGUGGCUCUUUAGGUUUUGUCACUCAUGAGGACAUGAACCACAUUGACAUUUGGAUCUUGAAGGGUUUAUCUGGGGAAGGGUGAACAAAGCAGCACAGUAUCACAGUGGAUUCCAAAAUUGACAUGGUUCCCCUUUGAAGUUUAAGAAUCAAGGGAGAUAUUAUUUUCCGUAGAAACAAAGACGACUCUUUCUAUGCUUACGACUUCCAACAGCAACAGAUGACAGAGAUUGGGAAGAUUAAUGGACUACCAAGGUGCCUGCCUCAUGUCAAUAGCCUUGUUACUUGGAUGCAAGUGAGUGAGGACAUGUUUGACUGACCUGCAGCAAUUGAGUGUGAUUUUCUAUAUGCUUGAAUUUCUCUUUAGUUUUAUAUGCUUAGUUGGAAAUGAAUUUUCUUCUCUUUAUAUGUAUAUAUAUCUUGCGUAUAAGAUUGAAUUGCCCUUUCUGUUUGGGCAUAGACCGUUCAUUUUCCAAUACAAUUGCUUAUAUAAGUUUGCUUA
This is a long non-coding RNA of Rosa chinensis, 2170 nucleotides long. RefSeq lists it as uncharacterized. NCBI's taxonomy places the organism in Eukaryota, Viridiplantae, Streptophyta, Magnoliopsida, Rosales, Rosaceae. The record is from RefSeq and is a predicted model, not a curated record. The transcript has 4 exons.